RNAcentral lists this ribosomal RNA (311 nucleotides) under uncultured eukaryote. RNAcentral's name for it is "partial 18S ribosomal RNA". It matches the Rfam family "Eukaryotic small subunit ribosomal RNA", at positions 1470 to 1796 of the family's 1831-position model. The record is from RNAcentral.
CCCUUAGAUGUUCUGGGCCGCACGCGCGCUACAAUGAUAGAAUCAACAAGUUUCUUUUCCGUAAGGUUAAGGAUAAUCAUUAGUUUCUAUCGUGAUGGGGCUAGACCCUUGUAACUAUUGGUCUCCAACGAGGAAUUCCUAGUAAACGCAAGUCAUUAACUUGCAUUGAUUACGUCCCUGCCCUUUGUACACACCGCCCGUCGCACCUACCGAUUGAAUGGUCCGGUGAAGUCUCCGAACUGACGUUUUCUUCGGAACGCGUCGGGAAGUUGAAUGAACCUUACCAUUUAGAGGAAGGUGAAGUCGUAACA